This 1248-nucleotide long non-coding RNA is filed under the name Oryctolagus cuniculus (rabbit). Its description in RNAcentral is "lncRNA (ENSOCUG00000037181.1)". The record is from RNAcentral. Lineage: Eukaryota; Metazoa; Chordata; Mammalia; Lagomorpha; Leporidae.
AUGGGGUGGGGCCUGGGAAGACGGUUCUUCGAGGGCUGCAAGCUGACGGACGUUGGUGCCCGCGCGACUGCCGGGUCUGGCCGGACUCCGAGCUGCUUGGAUCUGCUCCACAGGGCUCCAGAGAGCCGUGAGAGGACCCCCGAGCAGAAGAGUGACCCGGUUGGCAGGGUGAUAGAAAGAAGAAGAAGAAGAAGAAGAAGAAGAAGAAGGAGAAGGAGAAGGAGAAGGAGAAGGAGAAGGAGAAGGAGAAGGAGAAGGAGAAGGAGAAGGAGAAGGAGAAGGAGAAGGAGAAGGAGAAGGGAUCUUCCAUCUGCUUGUUCACUACCCAAAUGACGGCCAACAGCCAGGACUGGAUCAGGUCUAAGCCAGGGACCAGAGCUCCAUCCAGGUCCCCCGUGUGGGGGGCAGGGACCCCAGUACUGGAGCCCACACUUACUGCCUCCCAGAGGCAUCAGCAGGAAGCAGGAAUCAGGAGCUGGAGUGAAGCAUCCAGCUCAGGUGCCCUGAUGUUGGCAUCUUCACUGUCAGGCUAAACACCCAUUUCCAAGACUUUGUAACCGUGACCUGGAUCCCAGACUCCCUAAAAGAAAAGCUUGAACAAACUCAUUCUUCCCUCUCACACACAGGCAGUUUCUUUAUGGGAGAAAAGAAACAACUUCAAAGCAAAGUCAAAGGAGAAUGAAAAUCUGACAAAAGGCUGUGUGCGACUCUUAUUACAGUCAGCUUGCUACGGACCUUCUAGGAGUUGACAAGGAAAAGAACACCCAACAAAAGCAAGCCAAAGAAAUACAGAUGUCUGUUGAACAUUUCAAAUGGUAUUCUCCUACUCAGAUUAAAAUUAAAACUAGGUGAGAAAGCAUUUUCACACUUAACAGAUUGGCAGAAAUCCAGCAGUUUGUUUGAUAAAACAACUUGUGAGCAAGGCUGUGGGGAAAUGAGCAAUCACGCCCAUGUGCUGUUGCUGCCUGUUCGUAUUGGCCCGAAUCCCACGGAGGACAAUUUGGUGACAUUUUGCCAACAGUACAAAUAAGACAUCCCCUUUGACAUAAUAAUUCCACGGUGAGGAAUUUACCCUGCAGAAGGGGCAGUGGAAUACGUACAAAAUGAGCAUCGGUGAGAUUGGAUAUUACUGCCGGAUUUACAGCAGUUAUAGGUCAGGAACAAUGCAGGUAUCCAUUAACAAAGAGCAGGUUAAAUACCUUAUAAUCCAAAAAUAAAUUGGGAUAAGACACAUCUAUACCCGGUUGC